AUACGGAGGAUGCGAGCGUUAUCCGGAUUUAUUGGGUUUAAAGGGAGCGUAGGUGGGAUAUUAAGUCAGCUGUGAAAGUUUGGGGCUCAACCUUAAAAUUGCAGUUGAUACUGGUUUCCUUGAGUACGGUACAGGUGGGCGGAAUUCGUGGUGUAGCGGUGAAAUGCGUAGAUAUCACGAAGAACUCCGAUCGCGAAGGCAGCUCACCGGGCCGGAACUGACACUGAUGCUCGAAAGUGCGGGUAUCAAACAGGAUUAGAUACCCUGGUAGUCCGCACAGUAAACGAUGAAUACUCGCUGUUUGCGAUACACGGUAAGCGGCCAAGCGAAAGCGUUAAGUAUUCCACCUGGGGAGUACGCCGGCAACGGUGAAACUCAAAGGAAUUGACGGGG
This 393-nucleotide ribosomal RNA is filed under the name uncultured bacterium. Its description in RNAcentral is "partial 16S ribosomal RNA". It matches the Rfam family "Bacterial small subunit ribosomal RNA", at positions 523 to 918 of the family's 1533-position model. The record is from RNAcentral.